This is a long non-coding RNA of Drosophila navojoa, 217 nucleotides long. The record is from RefSeq and is a predicted model, not a curated record. NCBI's taxonomy places the organism in Eukaryota, Metazoa, Arthropoda, Insecta, Diptera, Drosophilidae.
AAUAUUAUUUAUAACAGAGUCACCAAUAACAUCAUCAUCAUCGUCAUCGUCAUCAUCAUUAUGAUUACCAUCCGGUCAGGGCGUCAAUUGCUCCCAUGUCAGCUAUAAUUAUGCGAUAUAUGUAUGUGGGCUGGGCGGCCUGUUUGACCAGUUUAUUUGAAUGCAUUUGGUGAAUUUUCUGGUAUAUCAAAUUAAUGUUCGUUAUUCUGUCGAUGCC